Molecule: long non-coding RNA, 783 nt
Filed under: Homo sapiens (human)
Lineage: Eukaryota; Metazoa; Chordata; Mammalia; Primates; Hominidae
Description: HSALNT0236026
Source: RNAcentral
GCCUCUAGUUAGUCUAGGCCUCUGAUUUCAGCUUGAAUAUACACUUUGCUCUUUUGGAGAAACAGAGACCUCUGCCUAAGUGAAACAGGACAUGUAAAGGGAGGAGGAAUACCAGGCUGAGAUUUCAUACCUUUGUAAUCUCUAAAGAAGGUUGUAUUGUCUCUACAACAAGGAAAAAGUUGAAGGACAAAGGGCAUAAAAUUCUUUUUUUCCAACAUAAAUCUUUGUCUGUUUUAUAGUGUUGUCUGUAAUUUCAAGGUGAAAGUGGGCCCUCCCUCAGCCCCGUCACACUCUAGAUGCAUCCCCAGAUUCCCCCCCGUCACCGUCACACUCUACAUGCAUCCCCAGGUUUCCCAGUCACCGUCACACUCUAGAUGCAUCCCCAGGUUUCCCAGUCACCGUCACACUCUAGAUGCAUCCCCAGGUUUCCCAGUCACCGUCACACUCUGCGUGCAUCCCCAGGUUCCCCCGUCACCGUCACACUCUACGUGCAUCCUCAGGUUUCCCAGUCACCGUCACACUCUACAUGCAUCCCCAGGUUCCCCAGUCACCGUCACACUCUACGUGCAUCCCCAGGUUUCCCAGUCACCGUCACACUCUAGAUGCAUCCCCAGGUUCCCCCGUCACCGUCACACUCUACAUGCAUCCCCAGGUUCCCCAGUCACCGUCACACUCUACAUGCAUCCCCAGGUUCCCCCAGUCACCGUCACACUCUACAUGCAUCCCCAGGUUCCCCAGUCACCGUCACACUCUACAUGCAUCCCCAGGUUCCCCCAGUCACCG